UCAUCUCAUAAGAAGACCAAAUAGAAAGUUCUGUUGUGAAUUGGUUCAAACACUUAGACUGCUUUUCUACUUCUAGAAAGAAGGCAGAAUCUAGGAUUUCUGCUCAGGGUGCACAUUACUGCAGAGGCGAGUGGCACUCCAGGAGCAUUUUGAUGACUUAUUUUUAUGUGUGAGCGAGUUGAUUGAAAAUCCUCCUAGCUCCCACUUUACCUGGCCAUUUGGUGCUUGACUUUUGUCUUUGAGUGGAGCAGAACUACUGAUGAUAAUGGCAGCAGUGACUUCAGUUAAAGAAUCCCAGGGACCACCUGAGACUUUCUGCAGCUCCGUGAUUUCAGCUUUAUGACCCUUAAUUGACAUUUCAAAAAGGCUUUCCUUACCAUGUGCUGAUUGAAAAAUAAAUAGUUUAGCAAAGAGAGGUCCUUCUUUCCAUGAAUUUGUCCCCACUGGCCACUUAAAUAGUGUGUGUUUAGGUGAAGUACCCUUUACUUCUGUGGGAGGAAACAAAGACUUUUUAAAACCACAUUAUUGCUGCAGCCCCAGAAGCUGAGAAGAAAGAGAACAGAUGGGUGGCUCUUCUCAAAGAAUGGUGCCUUCAUCUGGAUUUCCUCUUCUUAAACAUUUAUCUUCUUGUUCCUUGAAGGCUUUUAGGAAUUAUUAAUUCCACAGUGGCUGCAUGGUAACUGUUGAUUAGUGGUGGCUUAUUUUGGAUUUUCAAAGAAGUCUCUGAUCUACCAAAGUGAGUGUGUCCAACAGAGGUACACAAAAGGAAGAUUCUAACCCCAAGAUGAUGUAGCUCUUGAAGAAAGCAGGAGAGACUUCUGGGACUUAUGAUGAUAAAGGUGGGUGUUGGGGGGAGGAAAAUAUGGCAUGGAACGAGUUUCAAGAGAGAAGAGUUUGUUUAGUAAUGAGGCAAAAAAAUUGUUUCUGGACACAAGAGAUUAAGUUUCAUAUUUGCAAUCUAGGAAGUAUAGUGUAGAGAGAAAGAUCAUGGACUCUUACCCCAGACGCUGGCUCCCUCCCAAUCCUGUGUCUGCCUCUUUCUGAGAGAACUCUACAAGUUACAUCCCAGUAUCUUAGGUGCCCAUCUGCGAUAAUGGGAAUAAUGACACUACCUACCUCACUGGGUUUCUGUGGUGUUUAAAUAUAUUAAUUUUGCAUGAAGGAUUUAGUACAGUGGCUAGCACAUAGUAAAUACUUUUAUAAUGUUAGUUACCUUUAUUAUUUAUAUUCCUCUUCUUUGCCUAUCAGUUU
Molecule: long non-coding RNA, 1251 nt
Filed under: Homo sapiens (human)
Lineage: Eukaryota; Metazoa; Chordata; Mammalia; Primates; Hominidae
Description: HSALNT0296098
Source: RNAcentral